AUGCACCAGAUACGAGCCUGACAGUCUACAUCCAAGAUGUGUCGCACACUGGGGUUUAUCUGUGGCUGCACGGCUUCAAACGGUGCGAGAGGAACGUCAGCCCUGAGAUUUAAGCCCGUCAGUGGAGAGCAGCACUGACGAGUUAUAACUCAGAGGCACAGAU
RNAcentral lists this small nucleolar RNA (163 nucleotides) under Kryptolebias marmoratus (mangrove rivulus). Its description in RNAcentral is "Small Cajal body specific RNA 1 (ENSKMAG00000013181.1)". It matches the Rfam family "Small Cajal body specific RNA 1". From Rfam's summary of the family: scaRNAs are a specific class of small nuclear RNAs which localise to the Cajal bodies and guide the modification of RNA polymerase II transcribed spliceosomal RNAs U1, U2, U4, U5 and U12. ACA35 belong to the H/ACA box class of guide RNAs as it has the predicted hairpin-hinge-hairpin-tail structure, conserved H/ACA-box motifs and is found associated with GAR1. It is predicted to guide pseudouridylation of the U2 spliceosomal snRNA at residue U89. The record is from Rfam by way of RNAcentral. Lineage: Eukaryota; Metazoa; Chordata; Actinopteri; Cyprinodontiformes; Rivulidae.